GGGCGUCGGAAAGCGGCCUUCUGGGACUCCGCAAACUCCCGUUCUCCCUCCCCCCUCCCCCUUGCCAUUCCCUUUGCCUUCCGGGCGCCAAGUCUCUCUGGCCUCCAAGGUGAACCCAACUCCCCAGCGCGCCCCGGGUUCCCGGGUCGGGCCGGCUUCAGGCGGUGGGGAGCGGGAUCCCGGGCCCCGGGCGGGCGGGAGGGACGGGACGCGGUGCAGUGUUGUUUUUUCCCCCGCCAAUAUUGCACUCGUCCCGGCCUCCGGCCCCCCCGGCCCCCCGGCCUCCCCGCUACCCCUAGCGGGGCAGCCCCCGCCCUCCUGGCUCUCCAUCCCGGCGGAUCUUUGAUAGACUGGAGUGUCGCCGCUGCCACCGUGAGCUUACCAUCUGAGUCCUUCUGAUUGGGAUUGGGUACCAGGCGGCAGUUAUCGGGACCAGGAGGCACAUAAUCUGGGAUGCCAUCAUUGUCAUCAUCCCCAUCACACUCAUCUCCAAGUCCAUCGUUAUCAGAGUCCAGCUGGGAGCUAUUUGGCAGCUGUGGGCAGUUGUCCUUGGUGUCCUGAUGCCCAUCCCCAUCGCUAAUCAGAAGAACAGGUUGGUGAAAGUCCCGAACUUUGUCUCCCCACCCAGAGGACAACUGGCCAGGAAAUCUGCCUGUUUCUUGUCUCACCCUCUAGUCCACACUCUGCCUAACACUACGCCCUACCUCACAUUCCUAUUGACAUCUGCUGCAGAUCACACCCUUGUGAUGGACAAACUGCUCAGUACAGUCCCACCCACCCAGCCUCCUUGUCCUGGGCACGAGGUUUUUGCCUCCCUGAUUUGGAGUAUUUGGCCCUUACUAGAGAGCUGCCAGAUGAGAACUCAGAGGCUCCUCCCGGCUCACCUGCAUCCUCAAAUACGCCUUCUGUCCAGUCCUAAUCUCCAGCCCAUCGACCUCCGCUGGAGGAAUGGGGGCCAGUGCUGGAAGGCCUGCAUGUUGGUCACCCAGUUUGCAGUCCACGUAGAGAUGUAGGGCAGGGCUGGGUCUGGAGGGACCUCGGAGUCGCAGGAGAACUGUGUGUGUGCGCCCAUCAGCCAGGCCCGCUUGCUGUAGGUUCACGGCGUGGACUUUGCCAUCCUCCCGCUGGUAUCGCACCAGUACUGCCCAGGAGGGGAGAUCAGUAUGGGCGCUAUCCCCCACCCCCUGCCUCCCAGCUGAGCCUUGGAUCAACUCUGCUAGAUACCACAUCUCUAGGGCCCCUAUCCCUAAUUCUACUAUGUGGCUCUCAACACCUUGUAUUUAAUAGGUACACAAUAAAUGUUUUUGAAAUUGC
RNAcentral lists this long non-coding RNA (1314 nucleotides) under Homo sapiens (human). Its description in RNAcentral is "THBS3 antisense RNA 1". The record is from RNAcentral. Lineage: Eukaryota; Metazoa; Chordata; Mammalia; Primates; Hominidae.